CUCGCCCGGCUGGCAAGCAGACUGGCUUUUGGAAGCAAGCAAUGCUGUUUUGAACUGCUGCCAAAUGAGACAGCCUCUGCCGGCGCAGCUGAAACUUUUUACAGCCUCCCCUCACUUCGACAGGAAGAGACACGGGGAGCAAAUUUGUAGGAGAGGGGAAAAAAGAGCAAAAUAAAUCUUUGUAGCGUCUGCAACUAAGGCACUGCAUCAAGGAUUUCCUUCUGUGCUUUCACGCUCCCCUACUUUGGCAAGGCGCCACUUGAAAAAAGAUGUUUAAAAGAGAUGUUUUUUUCUCUCUGGGAGGAUUGAACGGGGAACGGAUGUGCUAGGAAGUUCAGCGAGUUCAGUAAAUGAGAAAUAUGUAAAUGCAUCAAUAACAAAGGAACUGUGACGUCACGCACUGUGCUGCCCGGGACACUGCCUGCAAGCAGACGGGACAAACGUGGACUCAUCUGACAAGAUGCCAUCUGCGUGCUAUAAAGAGUAUUCGUGUUUUACAUCAGAGCUUUCUGGCACAGGAAGAAGACCCCGCAACGAAUGACACGUUGUAGUCACUUCCUCUUUCACGGUAAGGACUUGAGGACCUGACAAACUUCUAGCAUUAUGACUAAACUGAAAAUCGCAAUAAGUUUCUUGGCGCCUGUUUGCAUAGCGUUUUGCUGCUCUUGACUAAACGACUGCAUGCAAAGUGCAACUUGGAUGAAGAUGUCAAACACAAGGUGAGUCAUAAAACCAAAUGAAUCAGUCAGGCAAAUGAGAUUAACCAAGCAUAGUGUCUUUCAAGACUCUUUGAGGAAGUACCAAGGACCGCUCAUGUCAUGUUUCCCUGAUAAAGAAAUCCAAAACGCAGGAGGUGGCAGAACAGCCUCUGGAUGUGUGUAAUGAUUAGCAAGGACUAUAACUGGAAGGCUCAAACUACCUGGGACAGAUGCCAAAUGCUGACAAAGGCAAUCAUUGCAUUCUCAGGGGCGAGCAAAAUCAACUCUUCGUCCUCUCGCGCUUCUUUCGGAAGGGGUUGUUUAUAUUCCUCAAGAAACCACCGAAACAUUGACUAAUUGCCGAAGGGGUCUUGUCACAUGCUUCGGCUAAAGGGCACGAAAAAUCACGUAAGUAUUGACCUGUUCUCAGUCUGGUGUUACUCGGUUUCUUGCCUCUUCUUCUGGGACCUGUUCAGCUGAUCAGGUGUUUCGCUUAAGUAAUCAAUUCCGAGUCUUAUUUUCCAGACUUUGUUGAGAAUCUGUGACUGGGAAAGAGGAGGGGUACAACCUGACCUCGCUUUCCCGUAAAAACAAGUUUUGCGUGCUAGUUUGUCGCAAACGGCGAUGGGCACUUUAUGUGAUUUUCUGCAUGGCAAACCCUCUCUUCUUGAUCUCUGCUUUCUUUUACGUUACUCAAACUCCCUUUCUUUCUCCACCUCCUCUCUCCCUCUCUCAGCUUCUGUCUUUCACUUCGCAUCCUGUGCCAAAGUGGGCAGGGAGAAAGAGCUCGUGGUGAGGCGGGUGAAACGGAGGCCGCUGUACGUGCUCUUUCUUCAGCCACAACCCCGUGGAAGAGCAUGUUUGGUGGUAGCACGUUUCUAGGUCUCUCUCCCCGAGAUAGGCGUAGUAUGUGCAUGAGUCUGCUCUUCUCGCCGCCAUGACCCUGCCUUGUGUUCUUUGCCGUAGAAGCCUCUAGUCUGCAGGUAUUCCGUUUUUUUCUCGCUUUUACAUUUUGUAAUAUCCCAUCAAUUAUUUUGUCACUUUUUAUGAAAUUCUCUUAAAGCAUCAUUGUCGAUUCUUUUACCCAGCUGCUCGGGCUGUCUUGUUCACUGUUGUCUUCCUCUUGUAAACGUGUCUGCUUCACCCAAGUCCAUGCCUCGGAUUCCGCCAUUUCUACUACACUGAACGACUUUCGGACAAAUGUUGUACAUUUGAUAAUGUUUUUAGGCUCGAUGCUAUAUUCUAAAAGUCUUUUGUUGAUAUUUUCAGAAGUUAGUUUCACAAGUAGGCACGCGUUUGUUCAGAUAGCAUGCACGUUCUUUUCGCUUUGGGCCGUUUUGUGCAUUCGAUUUUGGGGGUUGAGUUUUUUUAAGGAUUUGAAUGCAUUCGAACAUCCAAACAAAGUUUGGCUGCUACCUUAAUGUUUUUGGAGGGAAAUGAGCACAGUGAUGUGCUUGGAUAUGAUGCUAGUGUUUCAUGGCCUAUAAAUUCCCCCUAAGUUGUACAUCCCUCAAAUUUCUGUACUUUUAUUUUUGUUGACUAUAUUACGGUCAGUUUUAUAUAUUAUAUUUUUAUAAAAAAAAGGUACCAGUGAGGACACAGCUGUGGUAGAAAUAGUACAUUUGAGACAUCACUUCGUCAGUACGAGAGUAUUCGGUCACUUGUUAGUGACCAAAAGAUUUCUUUUAUAUUCAGCAGGUAAUCUUUUGAAAAAUAUAGGCUUGACCUGUUUGUUUUCGAACGCUUUUGUUUCUGUUGCGUUUGCAUUGCAAAUUACACAAAUGCCAAAAGAAACAGAGUAGAGCUAGUUUGGGAAAGAAAAUAAUAAAAUACAACAUAUAAGGAUCUAAUUAUAUAAAACAAUUCACUAUAUGACAUUUGUUAUGCAGACAGGCAGAAGCAACUGAAGAAAAUACAGAAAAAAUAUUACGGACAGAAUACAAAAAACGGGGUGGGGGGAUAAUCUAAUUUGAGAUUUGUUUAAAACAAAUUGAUUAAAGACUAAAUUUUGGUUAUUGAUCACAACAUUAGAGGGUGGUUACAGACAUCCAACUAUUAUGUAAAUAUUCCGUGGCUUUUUGUCAAAUUUACAGUACGUCCCGAGUGAACAAUCGACGAAAUCAGCUUUCUUUAGGUAACAAAAGAUGUCUUUUUUUUAAGAGGUUCUUAAAAUUCGGACGAAAUGGCACCAAGUGACCACUGAUAUUGAAAAUGCAUUGAUUCAUUUGAUUUAAAUCUAAUUCGCCCCUUAAAAAAAUUACAAAGGAAAGCUCUCAAGAUGGCGUCGACAUGCCACGUGUUUGUGUACUACUGUACUAAGUGUAUUUUACUUAAAGGGAUUUUUGAGUGACUUAAAGGGAUUUUUAAUGCAGUCACUUCCAAAGAAGAGCAAACUUUUCAAACAAAUCCUUAUGUAACAGCAGAUCAGCUCUCGACAUGCAAACAAAAGUUGAAAAGCUGUGAAAAAUAGUGCAGUUAGGUCGAAAUAACACACGAUGUGCUGAUGUUUGUUGAUUUAGCUUUAGACUGAGGAUUUUUUUUUUUUGUUAAUGUUCUUUUUUUGCACUUUAUUACUCAUCAGCAGAAGAAAGGAGGGCAGGUAAUUUGCUACUUUGCAGGGUAGAACCGAAAGUCUCGCCAGAGAGGCACAAAAGUUUGCGAAUACAUGUUUAUUUUGUUCAGAGACAGAGAGAGAUGGCAACAGGAAAAAAGUGGAGCGAGGGAGGGAGGAAAGGAGAGCAUUUCCUCCACCCCCUGUUCUCCUCAGAUGAACUUAUCAUGUAGCGUCAUAUUUUCUCUCUCUCCCUCUUUUUUUUUUUUUCUUUCCUCUUUCCCAUACAGCCCCGCUCCCUCCUACAUUUACUGUAGCUGACAAUCAGAUGCACUCUGGGCUCCGGCCCCACAUUAGCAAACAGGAAGUUUCAAAACAAACAGAGUUUAACCCUAAAAAUACUCUGAUUUCACCGCAUACACAAUCAGUUCUUCAACCUCACGCUGGAAUACGCAGAAUACAGCAUGAGUUUUGUAAUCACAAGAUUUUGACUUCAAGUAUUUUGAAAAUUCACCACAGGUGAGAAAACACCGCCGUUUGCCUUGCAAAUGCACAGACACGCAGCAUAUGCUCGGAGCCUAUUAGUUACAUGGCCCCAAACGGGGGCAGAGAUCUAAGUCUAAUCUGCAAGGUCUUUGAAUAAACAAGGCAAGGCAGAAUCCUUAUCGUCGAGUUUCGAUGAGUAACAGCAGGCUCUCCGGAGACCGCGUGACAGAGUCAACCAAGGUCAAGCCAAGCCCAACUUCCUGUUUUUUGGGGACCGCUAUUUUUGCUUUAAGGGCGUUUCUCUCUGGUGUAGGUUGAUGACAGCAGAUCAUAAGCAGAAUGAUUAAUGGCUUUUUCAAAGAGUUACAACUUUCUAUAGCUUAACUCUUUUACGCAGUGGCGCAACAGGUACGGUAACAGGAAGAAAAGUGUUGCUAAAUGUAAUUCAGUGAAACUGUGUACAGUGAUUCACACAAAUGAAAAAGAAUCUUGUGCAACACAAGCUAAAUUGCGAGGAGAAAUCACCAAUAGUGAGCAUGCCGAUCCACAGCUGUUCAAACAAAAGAUUACAGACGAGACAGCGACAGUUGCUAUUAAUAGUAAAAAUGAAACACAUCUAUUGUUCGUUCAUAACGUAUCUCAUAUUUUCCUCGUUCGUGAGAUGUUGCGAAUUCUAAUUUUCAGUUACGUGGACGGCGAAGGGAUUUUCAACAGGGAAGCUCCCCUCCUACGUUAAAUUAUGGCUGCACAAAGGCAUUGUCUCAAGUUCCGUUUUUUUUUUUUUAAUUGUGGCCUCUUACUCUUCCUCUGCCAACAUCCCCCACCCUUCAAUGCUCUACCCACCACCCUCUUCUCCGUUCAUUGAAAUUCAGCCUGGCAUACAGGCACUGCCCCUUUCUUGGCACCAGACUCAGGAACUCGGCGACAGAAAGGAGGGGAGAAAAUUAAAAUGAAAACAAGAAUAUGUACCAGUUUCUCAACCGCUGAGCUCGUGCCAAACAGCCAGCCCGUUUCGGCGGAUCUAACGCAAGAUUAUCGCUAGCCAUUUUCGGUGUACGGUUUCAGCAAAUAUCGUAAUCACAUAUGGUCCUGGCGACCAUAACGCAGUGGGAGGCGUUCAGCAGGCUAAUUAAUUUGCCUGUUUACCUCCUGCGAUUGGACGGUCACAAGGGCUAACGGCUGUGUCCUUUGAUCGCUAGGUAAGAUAGAAGGCCUUUUGUCGAUCUGAUGUGAUUUGUUUACCUCUUUUCCCCUCAGACAGGGAAGUAACAUGUUCUUUUGUGACUAUAAAAUGCUUGGUAUAUGAUUACACCAAAGGUGGUACGGCAUAGGUGAGGCGUAAACAAAUGCAGGCAAUUAAAAAUGGCAGCCAUUUGUUCAGAGACACAGCGAGGGCUUUAGCUGUUGCUGGGAAGAUGUGCAUCUUUUUAAGGUAAAAUGUCUGCUUAAUAGCUAAUUUGACAAACAGGUUUUGUCAUGAAUCACAGGGUGUGAUAUUAACCAAAGAUAUUUUUAACCUUGUGAUGUUUUUCAUAUAUUAGAGACACAGGCUCUGUUCCAAAACCUAGUGAGCUGCCCACAUAGGGAGCAUUUUAAGGCAUCAGGUAAGACAAGUCUCUUUAGCAAUCCCAGAAUGCAUCGCAGGCUCAGUGAAUAAAUACAAAUAAAUUUCAAGAUUGAUGCCAUUAUAUAAAAAAUGUCUAAAAAACAUAAAACAGUCUCAUUUUUAAAAGUAUCUUACUUAGUACUGUAGUGGUUUUAGCUUAGCCACAUGCUAACACCAUCUCGAGUGAAUUAUGAGUCGAACAUCAAGUAAAAAAAAACCCACUUAUAAUAUAAGAUUGCAAAGCAGUUCACUAGGCUUUGAAAAGGAUUUAGUCUGCAAACUGUACACUUGUUUAAUUUCAGAUAAAGAUGCUUAAGACUUAAAUAUAUAACGCAGGUCAAAGUCUUUGACAAAAAUGCAUGCCAUUACAGUUAUGAACUUAUUUGGUUAUUAAUCUGGCUCCCAUAUGUUGGCUAUAAGCUUAAGCUGAUUUAAAACGAAUAAACGUGGAAUUAUUAACAUAAGGAUACUAAUGCAUGCGAUGCCAUGAAGUACUACAUGCAGUUGUUUACGUUAACGCUUUGACUUUGUGUUAAGCCUGCAUGCAUUUAGUUUAAGAGGCUUGCUUUUUAAAGGUCAAGCGUACAGAAACACUUCAACAUUCUAAAAUGCCAUUAUUAAAUAUAACCUAGUUUUUAAUAGGCUUUUAUGGAGAUUGUUAGUGUUAGGCAAAGACCGUUUUUGCUUGUCAUUUUUGUAGCCGUGUUAUUUUAGUGUUAGUUUUCGUUAUCUUUCGGCUCCUUAGUGGAAAUCCCCUUACAGUACAGCAUUGCACUGUUAAGGUGUGGCGAUAAUUAUAUUUGUUGCGUCAUUAACAUUUAGCUUUUGAACAUUCUCUAUGACCUUUAGUGCUAAACAGAACAAUUAGGUGCAUUUUGCAUAAACACUUUGUUUUAUUGUGGGUUCAUUAAUGCAAAUUGUUUCCUGAAGUCUUCCAAUGAAGUGUCGACAGAUAUCUCUAACUGAUAUAGCUAUUAAAAGAUUAUUUUAAUAUUGCUGCAAUUCUGUUUUAUGGUAUUUCAUGAUUCCAUGUUCGUUCCACCCACGCUGUCUAAACUGAAAGCAACGGAUAAUCUCUAAUACUGUCUUAAAUACCCAUGUCGUAAAAAUCAGGGCAUUCCUGUCUAAUUUGCAUUAGCAUUAGCGUUACAUAUUUUUUAAAAGAGGUCAUUUACAUAUGAAAACAUCUAAGCGGCACUAAAAUGGACCUAAAUACCUGGCAAAGCACCAAAAGCACUGGUUAGUCCCCAUCAACGCGAUUACCGCACGUUGGGGAACAGAAGGCCACACUAGUUCCCUGUGUAAUCUAAAAAUGAUCCAAAUGCCACAUCUGUCAGACCAUAUUAGCAUAUUUUCCUCUUUCACGGGUGAGGCAUCAAAUGCGGUCCUUUUGUAGCUUCGCUAUAGAAUAGCUGGUGCAAUAAAAUAUCUAACAUGCUAAAGUUUUGUCUUUGAUUAGAGUAAGACAAUUGCAUGUCUGUACUGAUAGCAUUUGUAAAAAUGCACAACCUGAUGAAUUACACACCUACACUGAUAAGAGAUAAAGAUAGUUAAGCAUGGUUUGCUGCACAGCUUCUGACCUGACCUUCACCGAAAAGUUAGCAAAUCCGAGUUGGCACAGCCAAUGCAAGUCAUGCCAUCUCUCAGCUUCUGUCUGCUCCUUUGUGAUCGAGCAGAAUGCGUCUCGUGCCAAAACUUUUCAAUCAAAGCCCCCCCCCCCCAAAUGGGCCAGAAAGAGCAUGUGUAUGCUAAUUAGCUAAGAGGACUUUUGUAUGUUAACAAAUUGCUGAAAGCCAAUGUCUGGAAGAGAUUUGCAUGUUUAUUUAUGCAAAACAGACAUGUUCUACAUCUUAACAUGACACAGUAACUGCUCUUCGGCAUUUUGCAAAUGUUUUGCACGAUCAAAGUUUCUGCCGGAAGUUUAAGGAUGAGUAUACAUGCACAACAUUAUCAAAAUAAGAAACUGAUUUAACUGGAUGCUACUAUGCGUGAGUGCUGAUGUUCAGAGGUAUUUCCCCUUGUGAAAAAAACAGCAUAUGCUGGUUAGGUAUGUUUUGAUGCUGGUUUAAGCUGGUCCUUUGCUGGUUCAUGCUGGUCAUGUUGCUGGUCAAGGACCAGCUUAAACCAGCAAAGGACCAGUUUAAACUAGCAUCAAAACAUACCUAACCAGCAUCCCAGCAUUAAAACAUACCUACCAGCAUAUGCUGUUUUUUUCACCAGGGUCAUCACGUAUGCUAACGGGCAUCCAGAAGCGGAUGACUUUCGCAGCAUAUCUGCUAGUUCUGUUGUGUGUGAAAGAACGCUAUUGACUCGAGGAUGAAUCUUGGCUUUCUCGUGGUUGUACCGAUGCCAGGCGUCCUUCAGAGCGUCGAGAGGGAGACCCUUGCUCUUGCAAACAGCCUCUGAGAACAGUGAAUGCGUGAAUGGGUUUUUCAGGCACACCUCGCAGAGGUUGCAAGGAAUGCAGUGCACUCGCACCCUAAAAUGGCCGAAGCGACGCCAUUUUGUUUUCCCUCUAUUUUGCUGUGCGGAAUAGCAGAAUCAGCUUUGUUAAAGCUACAGGAGACAGCUGAGGAAGCCAUGUUUUGCAUCGUGUGUUUACUUCAAAAGCAUAGCUUACGCAAUGUUGUCUCGUUGGAAUGAGCUCAGUUUUUGGCAAAACGGGCGCGAAUUCCUGGCGAAGGAUCAAGACUUUUUUUCUUCAUGAUCCAAUGCCAGCCUCGCUAGAAUGAGAAUCCCGCGGUCUGCUGUCGGGCUGGUUGACAUCUGUUCUGCUGUCCUUGGGGCUGAGGUAGUAGAUUGAAUAGUUGUGGAGCCCUGCGCUCUCUCGCUGAGAUAACUAUACAAUCUACUGUCUUUCCUAAGGCGACAGCCAAAUCAUCCCUAAAUGAGUGUCUGCAUUCAUCCAAUGAGUGGGGAAGGAUAUUCACUCACAUUACGGAAGUAAAAUGGGUUGGGUUUGAUGUCAUUUUGACAUCAUACAUACGUAAGCGUGUCAGGCGAUGGGAUUGCCCUUUGGUGUCUUGACAGGGUGAGGUAGUAGGUUGUAUAGUUUGGUGGGAGGGAUCAAACCCUGUUCAGGUGAUAACUAUACAGUCUAUUGCCUUCCUUGUUGUACCAACUAUCUGCCUGCUGGUGGAAAAUCCCUGGAGUUUAAAUAUUACUUAAACCCUAUGGCCUUCACCCCAUGUGAACUAUGUGUACGUAAGCGGGGCGUUUAUUUCGGCACCCAUAUUUACAGGUUACAGUAUUCGCAAUGCCUGCAUAAACAGAGCAGUAUAGCAUGGGCAAUACACUCUAGUCGGUCUGCAAAAAUAGUCCUAUUAUAAACCUACACAAUUGCAGUAUAGAAUUUUAUGAAGCAGCAAUGUAAUGGAGCAAACAUGCUUUAAUCAGUAACUCUGAAACAUGUUAUAUUUAGUAAAUCUAAAUGAAUCAAGAUGAGUUUGAAAAGUUUGGGGUCAGUAAAAAAAUAAAAUAAAAGGAAUUUAGGCAAAGAUGCAUUUAAAUAAUCAAAAAUGACAAUACAGACUUUUAUAAUAAUAAAAAAAAAAUAAUCAUCAUAUUUUUUAUUUGUUUUUCUUUUUAUGUAUGAGAAUCCUGAAUCAUGGUUUCCACAAUGAAUGAAUGAAUGAAUGAAUGAAUGAAUAAAUAAAAACAAAUAAAUAAACAGGCAGAGUUGAAACUGUUUUCACUUAGAAACCUCUAGUAAAUAUCACAAUUAUUACAAAAGAAAUGCCAAGUAACAUUAAAUUAAAGUGGAAUUUUGAAGUAGAAAGAAUGAAAUAGUUUCUUUCUGUUUAAAUGUUCUCCAAUAAUCUGUUCUAUUUAGAAAUUUAAUUUAUAAUUUAAUUAAUUUAAUUUAAUUUAAUUAAUUUAAUGUAAUUUAUUUUUUUUUAUUAUAAAUUUUAUUUUUUACAGUGAUUUAUCAUAAUAAGAAAUGUUUCUUAAGCAUCAAAUCAGCAUAUUUGAAUGAUUUCUGAAAAAUCAUGUGACACUGUGGACUGAAUCAAAAUCAGGAAUUUAGGCAAAGAUGCAUUGAAUAAUCAAAAAUGACAAUCAAAUACUUUAAUAAUGUAAAAAAAAAAAAAAAAAAAAAAAAAAAAAAAAAGAAAGAAAGAAAGAAAAAAAAAUCAUCAGUAUUACUUUUUUUAACGUUUUAUCUAUCUGAGAAUCUUGAAUCAUGGUUUCCUAAAUAAAUAAAUACAUAAAUAAGUAAAAAAUAAAUUACAAAAUAAAUAAAUAAUACAAAUAAGCAGAGUUAAAAAUUAUUUAUUUAUAAACUGCUAGUAAAUAUCACAAUUAAUUACAAAGGAAUGCCAAGUAACAUUGAAUUAAAGUGGAAUUUUGAAGUGGAAAGAAUGAAAUAGUUUCUUUCUUUUUUAAUGUUCUUCAAAAAUCUUUGUUUUAUUUAGAACUUUUUAUUUAAUUAAAUUUUAUUUUAUUAUAUUUUAUUUUUUUAUUUUUUUUACAGUGAUUCAUCAUAAGAAAUGUUUCUUGCGCAUCAAAUCAGCACAUUCAAAUGAUUUCUAAAGGAUCAUGUGACACUGUGGACUGGAGUAAUUAUUAGCUUUGAAUCACAGAAAUAAACAACAUUUUACAAUAUAUUCAUAUAUUCUGUUUUUAACUGUAUUUUUUAACCAAGUAAAUGUGUCCUUGGUUGGCCUAAGAGACUUCCAAAAAUUUUGAAUGGUAGUGUAGAUUUAAUGAUGAUUAAGUUUGUAAUAGCUCACUCUACUAACCAUUUAAUAGGUUUUAGUCAUUCAUUAAAGGAAACACUCAUACUCACACUGUACGAGUAUGAAUGUAAAAGCACAACGUGACUCUUACAGCUGCGUGUAUGUGUCUGUAUUGUGAAACAGGCCCAACACUUUACCUAACAAGCCUGAACAACAUCCUUGCCUCCGCUGUGAGCUUAACAUGCUGAUCUAGUAUUACAUAUGAAGAGAAAAAUCAGAUUAAAAGAGAUUUACUGAGCUCAGAUUUAUGGCUUAAUCAAUAUUUUAGCUUUUCUGUUGGCUUGUGAUCAAACAGGAUUUUCACACAUCAUAACAGGAAAUUCAGUUUCAGUCAGACAAUGCAUGUGGCCUUGUUCAGUGAAUAAAUAAUAUAUAUAGAGCCAUGCAAUAUGCAUAAGAUGUUUUUGUUCUGUGAAUAAAAUACAGCUUUAUUCAACACUCUUUUUGCCUUUUUGAUUUUAUUUUAAUUUUUUGAUCAGUUUAAACAGUUAUCUUGCACAAAGGCUUGCUUGGCAGACGUUAGAGGUAAAGCAGUUUAUACAAUAUGUAUUUCUUUGAUGUUUAAUCAUUAUAAAAUCAUAUAAAACAAACAAACUGGGUAACACUUUAGAAUAGGGAGCACAUACUUCUCCCUCAGCAAACUCCUAAUUUGCAAUUUAUUGAUAAUUAGUAAGGUUCAGGUCUGGGGUCAGGUUAAUAUGUGUUAAUAUGUGCCUGAUAAAGGAUAAUAAACAGCCAAUAUACUAGUAAUGUGCAUACUAAUGAGCUACUAGGUAAUAAUGAGAAAUAAAGUGUUACCUCUACAUGUAUAAACUGGUACACUCUUAAAAAUAAAGUUUCUUUAUUGGCAUUGAUGGUUCCAUGAAGAACCUUAAGCAUCCAUUGAACCUUUCAAAUUUCAAAAAGUUCUUUUUAAAUGUUCCUUAAAAUAGUUCUUUUAGGAACUUUUCACUAAAAGGUUCUUUGGGGAACCAGAAAUGUUUCUUCUAUGGCAUCACUGCAAAAAAGCUUUUGGAACCUUUAUUUUUAAGAGUGUAGUAUUUUGUAGGCAUGUAGUUUAAAGAGCUUUUAAAGUAUCAAGAUACUUAGAAAAAUAAACAGUUUCUAAAUUAUGAUUUUGUGAGUGAAAAUUAUAUUUGCCAAUGAAGUAUAACUUGUAACUGCCUGAUAUUUGUAUGAUGUUGUAUGACUAGAAAUAAAGUAAGUUACAUACUA
This is a long non-coding RNA of Labeo rohita (rohu), 11295 nucleotides long. RefSeq lists it as uncharacterized. The transcript has 2 exons. The record is from RefSeq and is a predicted model, not a curated record. NCBI's taxonomy places the organism in Eukaryota, Metazoa, Chordata, Actinopteri, Cypriniformes, Cyprinidae.